RNAcentral lists this ribosomal RNA (527 nucleotides) under uncultured bacterium. RNAcentral describes it as "bacterial SSU rRNA". It matches the Rfam family "Bacterial small subunit ribosomal RNA", at positions 777 to 1304 of the family's 1533-position model. The record is from RNAcentral.
AAUAGAUACCCGGGUAGUCCACGCCGUAAACGAUGAGUGCUAAGUGUUAGAGGGUUUCCGCCCUUUAGUGCUGAAGUUAACGCAUUAAGCACUCCGCCUGGGGAGUACGGCCGCAAGGCUGAAACUCAAAGGAAUUGACGGGGGCCCGCACAAGCGGUGGAGCAUGUGGUUUAAUUCGAAGCAACGCGAAGAACCUUACCAGGUCUUGACAUCCUCUGACAACCCUAGAGAUAGGGCUUCUCCUUCGGGAGCAGAGUGACAGGUGGUGCAUGGUUGUCGUCAGCUCGUGUCGUGAGAUGUUGGGUUAAGUCCCGCAACGAGCGCAACCCUUGAUCUUAGUUGCCAUCAUUAAGUUGGGCACUCUAAGGUGACUGCCGGUGACAAACCGGAGGAAGGUGGGGAUGACGUCAAAUCAUCAUGCCCCUUAUGACCUGGGCUACACACGUGCUACAAUGGACGGUACAAAGAGCUGCAAGACCGCGAGGUGGAGCUAAUCUCAUAAAACCGUUCUCAGUUCGGAUUGUAGG